Molecule: ribosomal RNA, 357 nt
Filed under: Triticum aestivum (bread wheat)
Lineage: Eukaryota; Viridiplantae; Streptophyta; Magnoliopsida; Poales; Poaceae
Description: partial small subunit ribosomal RNA
Source: RNAcentral
AUGGCGAAAUAUUGGUGGGGAAGUUCCCUCGAUCGUCGAUCCUUACACUGGUUAGCCUGGGAUAAAUUGGCUACACCCAAACCCAGCGGGGGGAUGGGUUUUCACGAUAUGCGAGUUUUCAACUUGGCUCUACUGGGAAAGCACGGAUGGAGAUUUAUGACCAAUCCGGAUUCACUUUGCGCCAAGGUUAUGAAAGGUAGAUAUUUUCCCAACUCUGAUUUCAUGCAAGCCUCUGUGCCAAAGUCAUCUUCAGCUGUUUGGAGAGCGAUUGUAUCAGGCCGGAAAGCACUAAACGCAGGGCUUGUGAAGAGAGUGGGCGAUGGAUCUUCUAUUCGGGUGUGGGAGGACAAGUGGAUC